GGGCGUGUGGCUCAGUUGGUAGAGCGUUUGCUUAGCAUCAAAAAGAGGCGGCCAUCCCAGGCACAUCAAUGUACCCUGGCAAUUGCUGUCUUUCCUGCGAAAGGUCCUGGGUUCGAUUCCCAGCCCGUCCA
Lasiosphaeria ovina is the source of this 131-nucleotide non-coding RNA. NCBI's taxonomy places the organism in Eukaryota, Fungi, Ascomycota, Sordariomycetes, Sordariales, Lasiosphaeriaceae. The record is from the annotation of a GenBank genome assembly.